RNAcentral lists this long non-coding RNA (831 nucleotides) under Dasypus novemcinctus (nine-banded armadillo). RNAcentral describes it as "lncRNA (ENSDNOG00000051582.1)". Lineage: Eukaryota; Metazoa; Chordata; Mammalia; Cingulata; Dasypodidae. The record is from RNAcentral.
AGACCCCAUUCCUUCUGGUCCCGCCAGGGCACGCGGGACCAGAGGCAGAAGAACCUGCCCCCCCCUUCAGCGCAGUUCACGUGAGGGCAGGGGCAGAGGGGAUGGCGCGCCAAGUUCCCACCCCUAGGCCCCGCUGCGCGAUCCGGCCAACCCCUCCCGACUGAGCAGUGGAGCGGGGCCUAGAGGCCCGCUGCCGGGCGCUGGCUCCUCCCUCCCCGGCCGCUCCGGCUCCCGCCUCUCUCCCUUCCGCCGCCUAGGUGGGAGCCGAGCCUGAAUGAACGAGCCGCAGCCGGGGCCGGGCAGCUGCAGGGCUGCUGCGGGCGGGCAGUCUGGAGGCGGCAGCGGAGAUGCCAGGACCCCGCUGAGCUCACCGUUUUGCUCCUGGAGCCUGGAGCCUGACGCACCAGGCGGUACGAGGCCGGAGGCCGCAUGCGGAGCGGUGAGGAGCUGGGCAGCUUCCAGGAUGAGGCCUGCCUGCAGCAGCUCCAGGAUCGUAGGCGCCAGCCGCACUUCUUUGCCUACUCCCGAGCCAGUGAUCCAGCGCCCUGGGCUGGGAGGCCUCCGCUGCGACCCCGACCAGCUGCGCUGCAUUCUCGGCCUCCUCAAAGUCGCCAAAUUGGUCACAGAAAAAUAUUCACAGCAAUGAAAGAGUGGAGAAUCCAUGCACUGCCUUAUGAUGACCUGAGGGCCACCAGGACCUUCCCAAUCCAAAAGACCACCUCCAACAGGCCUGAUGAGAGUGGCUUGGGGCAACCACAGCAGUGUUUGAACACAGUGGAUGACUUACAUCUCCCAGCUUUACAGCAGCAGAGACUCAAGACCAAGAAAUGA